RNAcentral lists this small RNA (696 nucleotides) under Pongo abelii (Sumatran orangutan). RNAcentral's name for it is "retained intron". Lineage: Eukaryota; Metazoa; Chordata; Mammalia; Primates; Hominidae. The record is from RNAcentral.
AGCACGUGCCUGGCAGCCCCUUCUCUGUGAAGGUGACAGGCGAGGGCCGGGUGAAAGAGAGCAUCACCCGCAGGCGUCGGGCUCCUUCAGUGGCCAACGUUGGUAGUCAUUGUGACCUCAGCCUGAAGAUCCCUGAAAUUAGCAUCCAGGAUAUGACAGCCCAGGUAACCAGCCCAUCGGGCAAGACCCAUGAGGCCGAGAUCGUGGAAGGGGAGAACCACACCUACUGUAUCCGCUUUGUUCCUGCUGAGAUGGGCACACACACAGUCAGCGUCAAGUACAAGGGCCAGCACGUGCCUGGGAGCCCCUUCCAGUUCACCGUGGGGCCCCUAGGGGAAGGGGGAGCCCACAAGGUCCGAGCUGGGGGCCCUGGCCUGGAGAGAGCUGAAGCUGGAGUGCCAGCCGAAUUCAGUAUCUGGACCCGGGAAGCUGGCGCCGGAGGCCUGGCCAUUGCUGUCGAGGGCCCCAGCAAGGCUGAGAUCUCUUUUGAGGACCGCAAGGACGGCUCCUGUGGUGUGGCUUAUGUGGUCCAGGAGCCAGGUACUGGGAACCCGGCUGGGGUUGGAGGAGGUGGGGCCUGAGUGUGCGUAUUGGACCCGGGGGUUGCACAGAUAGCCCUGCCUGGCACUCACCCUUCACUUUGAGGUCACAGGGCCACCCAGGCUGUUCGUGGGAGGUGGGAGGCCCAAAGGCUGA